Long non-coding RNA from Rhagoletis zephyria (snowberry fruit fly), 1066 nucleotides. RefSeq lists it as uncharacterized. NCBI's taxonomy places the organism in Eukaryota, Metazoa, Arthropoda, Insecta, Diptera, Tephritidae. The record is from RefSeq and is a predicted model, not a curated record.
GGAUAUCCACAUACAUACAUACAUACAUAUGUACCUAUCAACUGCAAAUCUCUCUGAUUGUCUCCGUGUUGCAUCUACAUCUGUGGUCCUCUGUGAACCUGUCGUCGUGGCUCGGUCAUGUAAGCUGAUAACGAAGGCAGCCUCAUUGCGGCUAGCACCGAUCAACGCACUUGUUGUAAAUGCAUCCAACUUCUGCUUCUCUGGCUCAGACACGGCUGUUAAAAACCGAAAGUGAUCCUACAAACCCACUUAAGUUCCCAUUGUUUCCCUUUCAUUCAGGAAAUCGUCGAUGUAAAAAAAAACAAAGCAAAGUCAAAUCCCUAAGAAUACUCAAUAGUGGAAAAAAAGGGGAUAACAAAAACCAACCGAUGCAAACAGAUGAAGGGCGUAAGACAACAACAAAGGAAUACAAAACAAAAAAAAAACAAAACUACAUACAUAUACAUAAUGUUGAGCAGAUGCAGUGGUUUUAAGCCAGGCACCAUCAGGCAACCGCCAAUUUGUGCGAAGAACCCUUGCCUACCCUAACAUGAGAAUGAAAAGGUAUCAGCAGAGCUACCGGAAAACAAAUCAGAAUAUAUUUCCAGUAUGCGUCUGAGUGACUGUGGCAAUGGCUGUGACUAUGCCGGGGCGCGCCGCGCUACGCCGCGGCAGCAGUUGCAGCAGUUGUGCUCUUCAACAACGCAUGAAGCAUUCACAAUUCGUUGCUGUUGCGGUUAAAUCAUAGUUGUGAAGAUCGCUUAACGAGGAUCAACCACGCCAGGUCAGCAAGACGCAGCGUGGAGGAUUUCAGUCGCACCAACGCACAGUGGGUCAGUUGCAAAUUCCAAAUUUGGUACGAUCUGCCAUAAACAACAAAACAAAGGGAUUUACUUAAAUUUCAUUUGGAAUUUUGGCCACAAUCACCCACUGUACAACGGAGUAAAAUAAAAACACAAACAACCGCAUCGAGUUGAAAGACGUCGGGGUUAAAGACAGUCGUGGCAAAAGAGUUAAAAAUCUCUACAAAGCCAUCAGGCGUAAGACAGCGCUAGCCAAAACAGACGUCUCCAGAUACAGAAAUAAG